GGAUCCAGACUUUGAUCAUGGCUCAGGAUGAACGCUAGCUACAGGCUUAACACAUGCAAGUCGAGGGGCAGCGGGAUUGAAGCUUGCUUCAAUUGCCGGCGACCGGCGCACGGGUGAGUAACGCGUAUCCAACCUUCCGUACACUCAGGGAUAGCCUUUCGAAAGAAAGAUUAAUACCUGAUGGUACGAUGAGAUUGCAUGAUAGCAUCAUUAAAGAUUUAUCGGUGUACGAUGGGGAUGCGUUCCAUUAGGUAGUAGGCGGGGUAACGGCCCACCUAGCCAACGAUGGAUAGGGGUUCUGAGAGGAAGGUCCCCCACAUUGGAACUGAGACACGGUCCAAACUCCUACGGGAGGCAGCAGUGAGGAAUAUUGGUCAAUGGACGAGAGUCUGAACCAGCCAAGUAGCGUGAAGGAUGAAGGUCCUACGGAUUGUAAACUUCUUUUAUAAGGGAAUAAACCCUCCCACGUGUGGGAGCUUGUAUGUACCUUAUGAAUAAGCAUCGGCUAACUCCGUGCCAGCAGCCGCGGUAAUACGGAGGAUGCGAGCGUUAUCCGGAUUUAUUGGGUUUAAAGGGAGCGCAGACGGGUCGUUAAGUCAGCUGUGAAAGUUUGGGGCUCAACCUUAAAAUUGCAGUUGAUACUGGCGUCCUUGAGUGCGGUUGAGGUGUGCGGAAUUCGUGGUGUAGCGGUGAAAUGCUUAGAUAUCACGAAGAACUCCGAUUGCGAAGGCAGCACACUAAUCCGUAACUGACGUUCAUGCUCGAAAGUGUGGGUAUCAAACAGGAUUAGAUACCCU
This 797-nucleotide ribosomal RNA is filed under the name uncultured Bacteroidota bacterium. RNAcentral's name for it is "bacterial SSU rRNA". It matches the Rfam family "Bacterial small subunit ribosomal RNA", at positions 1 to 788 of the family's 1533-position model. The record is from RNAcentral. Lineage: Bacteria; Pseudomonadati; Bacteroidota.